This 30-nucleotide non-coding RNA is filed under the name Homo sapiens (human). Lineage: Eukaryota; Metazoa; Chordata; Mammalia; Primates; Hominidae. The record is from RNAcentral.
UGCACAUGGGCUUAAAGCUGUCCUGUCAGA